GGGUGCUUACCAUGCAGUCGACGAUGAACCACUUCGGUGGGGAUUAGUGGCGAACGGGUGAGUAACACGUGGGCAAUCUGCCCUGCACUCUGGGACAAGCCCUGGAAACGGGGUCUAAUACCGGAUACUGAUCGCCUUGGGCAUCCUUGGUGAUCGAAAGCUCCGGCGGUGCAGGAUGAGCCCGCGGCCUAUCAGCUUGUUGGUGAGGUAAUGGCUCACCAAGGCGACGACGGGUAGCCGGCCUGAGAGGGCGACCGGCCACACUGGGACUGAGACACGGCCCAGACUCCUACGGGAGGCAGCAGUGGGGAAUAUUGCACAAUGGGCGAAAGCCUGAUGCAGCGACGCCGCGUGAGGGAUGACGGCCUUCGGGUUGUAAACCUCUUUCAGCAGGGAAGAAGCGAAAGUGACGGUACCUGCAGAAGAAGCGCCGGCUAACUACGUGCCAGCAGCCGCGGUAAUACGUAGGGCGCGAGCGUUGUCCGGAAUUAUUGGGCGUAAAGAGCUCGUAGGCGGCUUGUCGCGUCGGUUGUGAAAGCCCGGGGCUUAACCCCGGUCUGCAGUCGAUACGGGCAGGCUAGAGUUCGGUAGGGGAGAUCGGAAUUCCUGGUGUAGCGGUGAAAUGCGCAGAUAUCAGGAGGAACACCGGUGGCGAAGGCGGAUCUCUGGGCCG
RNAcentral lists this ribosomal RNA (673 nucleotides) under Streptomyces cellulosae. Its description in RNAcentral is "bacterial SSU rRNA". It matches the Rfam family "Bacterial small subunit ribosomal RNA", at positions 42 to 736 of the family's 1533-position model. The record is from RNAcentral. Lineage: Bacteria; Bacillati; Actinomycetota; Actinomycetes; Kitasatosporales; Streptomycetaceae.